GGGGAUAACUAUUGGAAACGAUAGCUAAUACCGCAUAACAAGCAAAUGUUGCAUGACAUUUGCUUAAAAGGUGCAAUUGUCAUCACUACCAGAUGGACCUGCGUUGUAUUAGCUAGUUGGUGGGGUAAUAGCCUACCAAGGCGACGACGGGUAGCCGGCCUGAGAGGGUGUACGGCCACAUUGGGACUGAGACACGGCCCAG
Molecule: ribosomal RNA, 202 nt
Filed under: uncultured Streptococcaceae bacterium
Lineage: Bacteria; Bacillati; Bacillota; Bacilli; Lactobacillales; Streptococcaceae
Description: partial 16S ribosomal RNA
Rfam family: Bacterial small subunit ribosomal RNA
Source: RNAcentral